UUUCGCAAUGCCCGAAAGGGUGACGAAGCGACGCCGCGUGCGGGAAGAAGGCCUUCGGGUUGUAAACCGCUGUCGGGAGUUAAGAAAUGUAAGGAUGUUAAUAGCAUCUUUGCUUGACUAAGGCUCCGGAGGAAGCCACGGCUAACUCUGUGCCAGCAGCCGCGGUAAUACAGAGGCGGCAAGCGUUGUUCGGAAUUAUUGGGCGUAAAGAGCACGUAGGCGGCUAUGUAAGUCGGUUGUGAAAGCCUUCCGCUCAACGGGAGAACUGCAUCCGAUACUGCAUGGCUUGAGUGCGGGAGGGGAGAGUGGAACUUCUGGUGGAGCGGUGAAAUGCGUAGAUAUCAGAAGGAACGCCGGCGGCGAAAGCGGCUCUCUGGCCCAUAACUGACGCUGAGUGUGCGAAAGCUAGGGGAGCAAACGGGAUUAGAUACCCCGGUAGUCCUAGCCGUAAACGAUGGGCACUAAGUAGAGGGGUUUUA
This 479-nucleotide ribosomal RNA is filed under the name uncultured Planctomycetota bacterium. RNAcentral describes it as "bacterial SSU rRNA". It matches the Rfam family "Bacterial small subunit ribosomal RNA", at positions 364 to 833 of the family's 1533-position model. Lineage: Bacteria; Pseudomonadati; Planctomycetota. The record is from RNAcentral.